GAUGAACGCUAGCGGCAGGCUUAAUACAUGCAAGUCGAACGGUAAGUAUUUUAGCAAUAAGAUACGAGAGUGACGUACGGGUGCGUAACACGUAUGCAACCUGCCUUGUACAGGAGGAUAGCUCGGGGAAACUCGAAUUAACCCUCCAUAAGAUCGUGGUGAGGCAUCUCACAGCGAUAAAAUCUUAGGAGGUACAAGAUGGGCAUGCGUCUGANAGUUAGUUGGUGCGGGUAACGCCCACCAAGACGAUGAUCAGUA
RNAcentral lists this ribosomal RNA (258 nucleotides) under uncultured bacterium. RNAcentral's name for it is "partial 16S ribosomal RNA". It matches the Rfam family "Bacterial small subunit ribosomal RNA", at positions 28 to 285 of the family's 1533-position model. The record is from RNAcentral.